GGGCCGUUAGCUCAAUUGGCAGAGCAGCGGACUUUUAAUCCGUUGGUUGUGGGUUCAAGUCCCACACGGCCUA
RNAcentral lists this transfer RNA (73 nucleotides) under Streptomyces sp. SID3212. Its description in RNAcentral is "tRNA-Lys". It matches the Rfam family "tRNA". From Rfam's summary of the family: Transfer RNA (tRNA) molecules are approximately 80 nucleotides in length. Their secondary structure includes four short double-helical elements and three loops (D, anti-codon, and T loops). RNAcentral also lists the same sequence under 4 other names. The record is from RNAcentral. Lineage: Bacteria; Bacillati; Actinomycetota; Actinomycetes; Kitasatosporales; Streptomycetaceae.